UGGUACUUGUCCGGCAAUAAAAGAGGGUGGUGAAGCUUGUUGCCACCUUGGAUUAGGUGCCGACUGCUGGCCUUGCAUUUGAUGUGAUCCUUGUCCAGCAACAAAAGAGGGUGGUGAAGCUUGUUGCCACCUUGGAUUAGGUUCUGACUGCUGGCCUUGCAUUUGAUGUGAUCCUUGUCCAGCAACAAAAGAGGGUGGUGAAGCUUGUUGCCACCUUGGAUUAGGUUCUGACUGCUGGCCUUGCAUUUGAUGUGAUCCUUGUCCAGCAACAAAAGAGGGUGGUGAAGCUUGUUGCCACCUUGGAUUAGGUUCUGACUGCUGGCCUUGCAUUUGCUGUGAUCCUUGUCCAGCAGUAUAAGACGGCGGUGAAGCUUGUUGCCACCUUGGAUUAGGUGCUGACUGCUGGCCUUGCAUUUGAUGCGAUCCUUGUCCAGCAACAAAAGUGGGUGGUGAAGCUUGUUGCCACCUUAGAUUAGGAUCUGCCUGCUGGCCUUGCAGUUGAUGUGAUCCUUGUCCAGCAACAAAAGAUGGUGGUGAAGCUUGUUGCCACCUUGGGUUAGGUGCUGACUGCUGGCCUUGCAUUUGUGAUGAUCCUUGUCCUCCAAUGAAAGAAGGUGAUGAAGCUUGUUGCUGUCCUCCAACGAAUGAGGGAGGUGAAUUUUGUUGCCACGUUGAAUUAAGAGCUGAAGGCCGACCUUGCACUUGUG
This 707-nucleotide long non-coding RNA is filed under the name Solanum tuberosum (potato). RNAcentral describes it as "long non-coding RNA (STUB_LNC002346)". The record is from RNAcentral. Lineage: Eukaryota; Viridiplantae; Streptophyta; Magnoliopsida; Solanales; Solanaceae.